RNAcentral lists this long non-coding RNA (501 nucleotides) under Rattus norvegicus (Norway rat). RNAcentral's name for it is "long non-coding RNA NONRATT016180". The record is from RNAcentral. Lineage: Eukaryota; Metazoa; Chordata; Mammalia; Rodentia; Muridae.
UUUUUAGAUAACUGUUUUACAUUUGUGUGUGUGUGUGUGUGUGUGUGUGUGUGUGUGUGUGUGUGUGUGUGUGUGUGUGUAAGAAUUGGAACAACUUGGAGGAGUCCGUUCUCUACUGUGGGGAUCCCAUCAGGGUCAUCAGCUAGAGCUCCUCACUCACCUGCUCGCUGAGCCUCUUCACUGGUUUAUCAUAGCUUCAUGAUCUUUAAAACCUUAGCACUGAAGAACAUACCCAUCAUUCUGAUGGUGUUUGAAAAUGGUCUGUAUGCUUUUGGACAUAUUUUAUGUUUCUAAUUUUAGGCUAUGGAGUUACUGGUAGAGAAAGCAAUUAGCAGUGCUUCUAGUCCUCAAAGCCCUGGAGAUGCCCUGAGAAGAGUAUUUGAGUGCAUUUCUUCAGGGAUUAUUCUCAAAGGCAGCCCUGGACUUCUGGAUCCUUGUGAAAAGGAUCCCUUUGAUACUUUGGCAACAAUGACUGACCAACAGCGUGAAGACAUUACAUCC